RNAcentral lists this unclassified non-coding RNA (678 nucleotides) under Sesleria insularis. RNAcentral describes it as "contains 3' external transcribed spacer, ETS". Lineage: Eukaryota; Viridiplantae; Streptophyta; Magnoliopsida; Poales; Poaceae. The record is from RNAcentral.
CUCGUGCGGCCGACUACCGACGCCGUGUCCCGUCAUUCGUGUGGCUUAUGUUACUGUUGCCUUUCAAGUGCUUGCGUGCAGGUACCCGACCUACGGGAAGUGGUGCUUCGUACACGUUUGCCUCGCGGCGGACUCCUUCGGGUGUCCCGCUGCGGCCAAAUGGCGCUUGCGGCGUUGCCUCGUGGUGCUGGCACGUUUACAUGCCCGGUGCUAUCAAGGCAGCCUCGCUCGUGCUAUUGGUUUUGGAUGUUGCUCACGAUAAAGGCUCAUGGCCCUUUUGGUUGCCUAGACCCGACCCUCAAGAAGCUCUCCGAAUCUGAAAGCAUCGUAGAACUGUGUUGCCUCUACCUAUCCACAGUUAGUGGUAGGAUACGUAACAUUCUGGACCGUUGCUAGUAGGAGCUGGAGAGCUUGGCCCGCUCAAUUGCGACAACCGGCCCGGCUGUUGUCCGCCUGUAUUGCCUAGACCCGACACUCAAGAAGCUCUCCGAAUCUGAAAGCAUCGUAGAACUGUGUWGCCUMUACCUAUCCAAGUGGUAGGAUACGUAACAUUCUGGACCGUUGCUAGUAGGAGCUGGAGAGCUUGGCCCCGCUCAAUUUACGAUAAAGGCUCAUGGGCGGGCAACUACCGGCGCUGGACGUCAAAGAGGACGUGCUACCUGGUUGAUCCUGCCAGUA